CAAUCAAACUUCAAGGCACUGCCCCAGGAUGGGAACAUAGCAAGGCACCUUGAUUUUUGGUGUGUUGAGGUAUCUGGAAAGGA
RNAcentral lists this signal recognition particle RNA (83 nucleotides) under Campylobacteraceae bacterium 4484_166. Its description in RNAcentral is "partial signal recognition particle sRNA small type". It matches the Rfam family "Bacterial small signal recognition particle RNA", at positions 15 to 97 of the family's 97-position model. Rfam says of the family: The signal recognition particle (SRP) is a universally conserved ribonucleoprotein involved in the co-translational targeting of proteins to membranes. Archaeal SRP consists of a 7S RNA and homologues of the eukaryotic SRP19 and SRP54 proteins. Lineage: Bacteria; Pseudomonadati; Campylobacterota; Epsilonproteobacteria; Campylobacterales; Campylobacteraceae. The record is from RNAcentral.